GACGGGGGAUGCAAGCGUUAUCCGGAAUGAUUGGGCGUAAAGGGUCCGCAGGUGGCCCGGUCAGUCCGCUGUCAAAGCCUGGGGCUCAACCCUGGAGAGGCGGCGGAGACCACCGGGCUUGAGUCCGGUAGGGGCAGAGGGAAUUCCCGGUGGAGCGGUGAAAUGCGUAGAGAUCGGGAAGAACGCCAAGGGCGAAGGCGGCUACCUGGACCAGCACUGACAGCUGAGGCCACGGAAAGCGUGGGGAGCAAACAGGA
RNAcentral lists this ribosomal RNA (257 nucleotides) under uncultured bacterium. RNAcentral describes it as "partial 16S ribosomal RNA". It matches the Rfam family "Bacterial small subunit ribosomal RNA", at positions 524 to 777 of the family's 1533-position model. The record is from RNAcentral.